GACACAGGGAUUGCCCUAGUAACGGCGAGUGAAGCGGCAACAGCUCAAAUUUGAAAUCUGGCCCUCGGGUCCGAGUUGUAAUUUGUAGAGGAUGCUUUUGGUGCGGUACCUUCCGAGUUCCCUGGAACGGGACGCCAUAGAGGGUGAGAGCCCCGUCUGGUUGGAUGCCAAUCCUCUGUAAAGCUCCUUCGACGAGUCGAGUAGUUUGGGAAUGCUGCUCUAAAUGGGAGGUAUAUGUCUUCUAAAGCUAAAUAUUGGCCAGAGACCGAUAGCGCACAAGUAGAGUGAUCGAAAGAUGAAAAGCACUUUGAAAAGAGAGUUAAAAAGCACGUGAAAUUGUUGAAAGGGAAGCGCUUAUGACCAGACUUGGGCUUGGUUGAUCAUCCGGCGUUCUCGCCGGUGCACUCUUCCGGCUCAGGCCAGCAUCAGUUUGCUUCGGGGGAUAAAGGCUUUGGGAAUGUGGCUCCCUCGGGAGUGUUAUAGCCCACUGUGUAAUACCCUGGAGCGGACUGAGGUACGCGUUCUGCAAGGAUGCUGGCGUAAUGGUCAUCAGUGACCCGUCUUGAAACACGGACCAAGGAGUCGAGGUUUUGCGCGAGUGUUUGGGCGUAAAACCCCCACGCGUAAUGAAAGUGAACGCUGGUGAGAGCUUCGGCGCAUCAUCGACCGAUCCUGAUGUAUUCGGAUGGAUUUGAGUAAGAGCGUAAAGCUUCGGACCCGAAAGAUGGUGAACUAUGCUUGGAUAGGGUGAAGCCAGAGGAAACUCUGGUGGAGGCUCGCAGCGGUUCUGACGUGCAAAUCGAUCGUCAAAUCUGAGCAUGGGGGCGAAAGACUAAUCGAACC
Molecule: ribosomal RNA, 843 nt
Filed under: Dactylaria longispora
Lineage: Eukaryota; Fungi; Ascomycota; Leotiomycetes; Helotiales
Also listed under: 1 other name
Description: eukaryotic LSU rRNA
Rfam family: Eukaryotic large subunit ribosomal RNA
Source: RNAcentral